Eleginops maclovinus (Patagonian blennie) is the source of this 431-nucleotide long non-coding RNA. RefSeq lists it as uncharacterized. Lineage: Eukaryota; Metazoa; Chordata; Actinopteri; Perciformes; Eleginopidae. The transcript is spliced from 3 exons. The record is from RefSeq and is a predicted model, not a curated record.
UUUGGUGCCCUAGAUGAUUCUUGUUGAGUAGUAGAUUUAUUGCGAUUGUGGUUCUUUUUUUUCCCACCAGCCGCUCUGACAGAGCGAAGCAACACCCCACUGGCCUUGAAGAAAGCAACCAGGAAAGGCUGUUUGGACUGAGGCCCAUUCCUCCCAAUGAUUCCAGCAGAUUUCAUGUUGAUACUUCGCCCUGCAAAAAACAGUUUCCACACAGAGCUGCAGGCCCAAGUUCUGCUGGGGGUUCAUCAACCAGUGGUUACUGGUGGCUGUGAUGUCAAACACUAACCAGCCCCCAUCGGAUGCCAGGACCCUUUUGGAGUCAAGCAAGAAUGUCUCUGCAUCUCUGAAGGGGAUCCAGGAGGACAAACACAGGGUUGUUGAGUUGGUUCAGCGUAAUCGGGACUGUAGCACUGCAAUGAACAAAGACCAGG